RNAcentral lists this ribosomal RNA (311 nucleotides) under uncultured Gammaproteobacteria bacterium. Its description in RNAcentral is "bacterial SSU rRNA". It matches the Rfam family "Bacterial small subunit ribosomal RNA", at positions 189 to 489 of the family's 1533-position model. Lineage: Bacteria; Pseudomonadati; Pseudomonadota; Gammaproteobacteria. The record is from RNAcentral.
AAACUCGUCGGCCAAAAGGGACUUCGGCCUCUCNGUCAAGAUAUGCCUAGGUGGAUUAGCUAGUUGGUGAGGUAAUGGCUCACCAAGGCGCGGAUCCCUAGCUGGUCUGAGAGGAUGAUCAGCCACACUGGAACUGAGACACGGUCCAGACUCCUACGGGAGGCAGCAGUGGGGAAUAUUGCACAAUGGGCGAAAGCCUGAUGCAGCCAUGCGGCGUGUAUGAAGAAGGCCUUCGGGUUGUAAAGUACUUUCAGUUGUGAGGAAGGGGGUAACGUUAAUAGCGUUAUCUCUUGACGUUAGCAACAGAAGAA